RNAcentral lists this long non-coding RNA (989 nucleotides) under Homo sapiens (human). RNAcentral describes it as "novel transcript". Lineage: Eukaryota; Metazoa; Chordata; Mammalia; Primates; Hominidae. The record is from RNAcentral.
GGAUUUUGUUAUCUAUUUGGGAUCCCCAGAGAUUCCAUAUGAAUGGAUGAAGUUUUGCUCUGUCCCCAAGCUGGAAUGCAGUGGUGCAAUCUUGGUUCACUGCAACCUCUGCCUCCCAGGUUCAAGCGAUUCUCCUGUCUCAGCCUCCUGAGUAGCUGGGAUUACAGGUGCAUGCCACCAUGCCCAGCUAAUUUUUAUAUUUUUAGUAGAGACUGGGUUUCACCAUGUUGGCCAGGCUGGUCUCGAACUCCCGACCUCAGGUGAUCCGACUGCCUCAGCCUCCCAAAGUGCUGGGAUUACAAGCAUGAGCCACUGCGCCCAGACUUAAUGAUCAUUCUUUAACAGCCCUUUCUUGAUUUGUGUGUUUGUAUGUGUGUGUGUGUGUGCGUGGGUGUGAAUGUAAUGCAUGUAGUGGAGGUGUUUCUUAUAUAUUAUUUUUCCUUUUCCUUUUUUCUUAUGUCUAUUACUACUCCAUUUUAUAACAUUUAUAUUCUAUAUUAGCAAAAUUGUUAUCUCAAAUUUAAUGUUUGUAAGGUUCUUGUCACUAACCAAUCUAUCUUUAUAGUUUCUCUGUCAGCAGUUUUUUUUUAUAACAGAGUUAUUUACUUUUUUAUUCAUGCUUCUUUUCAUUCAUCAUCUUUUGGUGUGUUUCUCUCUGUAGUGGAUAUCAUGUUUGCUCAUCGUUUGAAAUGUCUUGUUAUAUAUAACAUUUGUAAGAAACAUGUUGAAAUUUUAUGCUCACAUUUUCAAGCUGCAUUUCAAGCUCUUUCUCUUGGUCUGUAAUAAUCAAUUUAUAAGGUUAUUUCAUUCACAAACUAAACUUAAAAAAUUCUGAUAUGGCAUGCUUGUUCAUUUGUAUGUCUGGAUUCUGGUCAUACUUACUCUUUAUUUUUAUUUGUACACAUAAAUUAUACUUCAUGAAUAUAUAUUUUCAUUCAUUAAGAAUAAAUAAAACAUUAAUAAAUCAGCAUUCUCUUACUUUCAAAGGA